Molecule: ribosomal RNA, 316 nt
Filed under: Salmonella enterica
Lineage: Bacteria; Pseudomonadati; Pseudomonadota; Gammaproteobacteria; Enterobacterales; Enterobacteriaceae
Also listed under: 1 other name
Description: bacterial SSU rRNA
Rfam family: Bacterial small subunit ribosomal RNA
Source: RNAcentral
AAAUUGAAGAGUUUGAUCAUGGCUCAGAUUGAACGCUGGCGGCAGGCCUAACACAUGCAAGUCGAACGGUAACAGGAAGCAGCUUGCUGCUUUGCUGACGAGUGGCGGACGGGUGAGUAAUGUCUGGGAAACUGCCUGAUGGAGGGGGAUAACUACUGGAAACGGUGGCUAAUACCGCAUAACGUCGCAAGACCAAAGAGGGGGACCUUCGGGCCUCUUGCCAUCAGAUGUGCCCAGAUGGGAUUAGCUUGUUGGUGAGGUAACGGCUCACCAAGGCGACGAUCCCUAGCUGGUCUGAGAGGAUGACCAGCCACAC